ACCCUCUCAGGGUCACACUUGCAGAGUUUCCAGUACUCUAUCAGCCUCGGUGAUGGGAGGGAGAGUCAAGCAGAGUCAUACCCAUUCCAUUCCUAGCUUGGCCAGUGGCUAGCAAGUAGAAGGCAAUCUGCUACAUGU
This 138-nucleotide small nucleolar RNA is filed under the name Ornithorhynchus anatinus (platypus). Lineage: Eukaryota; Metazoa; Chordata; Mammalia; Monotremata; Ornithorhynchidae. The record is from RNAcentral.